This 253-nucleotide ribosomal RNA is filed under the name uncultured bacterium. RNAcentral describes it as "partial 16S ribosomal RNA". It matches the Rfam family "Bacterial small subunit ribosomal RNA", at positions 524 to 776 of the family's 1533-position model. The record is from RNAcentral.
UACGGGGGGGGCAAGCGUUGUUCGGAAUUACUGGGCGUAAAGGGCUCGUAGGCGGCCAACUAAGUCGGAUGUGAAAUCCCCAAGCUUAACUUGGGAACUGCAUCCGAUACUGGAUGGCUUGAAUCCGGGAGAGGGAUGCGGAAUUCCAGGUGUAGCGGUGAAAUGCGUAGAUAUCUGGAGGAACACCGGUGGCGAAGGCGGCAUCCUGGACCGGUAUUGACGCUGAGGCGCGAAAGCCAGGGGAGCAAACGGG